AGCGAUCGUUACUCAUAGUAGCGAAUAUAUCCGUCAACCCGCAAUGGAGCAGCGUGGUGGAUUAAGCUCUUAUCCUUCUCCUACAUGGGGAAAGAGGCCUAUGCCCAGCUGUGGGAUAU
This is a long non-coding RNA of Melitaea cinxia (Glanville fritillary), 119 nucleotides long. RefSeq lists it as uncharacterized. The transcript has 3 exons. Lineage: Eukaryota; Metazoa; Arthropoda; Insecta; Lepidoptera; Nymphalidae. The record is from RefSeq and is a predicted model, not a curated record.